RNAcentral lists this ribosomal RNA (497 nucleotides) under uncultured bacterium. RNAcentral's name for it is "partial 16S ribosomal RNA". It matches the Rfam family "Bacterial small subunit ribosomal RNA", at positions 28 to 507 of the family's 1533-position model. The record is from RNAcentral.
GAUGAACGCUGGCGGCGUGCCUAAUACAUGCAAGUCGAGCGAACGGACGAGAAGCUUGCUUCUCUGAUGUUAGCGGCGGACGGGUGAGUAACACGUGGAUAACCUACCUAUAAGACUGGGAUAACUUCGGGAAACCGGAGCUAAUACCGGAUGAUAUUUUGAACCGCAUGGUUCAAAAGUGAAAGACGGUCUUGCUGUCACUUAUAGAUGGAUCCGCGCUGCAUUAGCUAGUUGGUAUGGUAAUGGCUUACCAAGGCAACGAUGCAUAGCCGACCUGAGAGGGUGAUCGGCCACACUGGAACUGAGACACGGUCCAGACUCCUACGGGAGGCAGCAGUAGGGAAUCUUCCGCAAUGGGCGAAAGCCUGACGGAGCAACGCCGCGUGAGUGAUGAAGGUCUUCGGAUCGUAAAACUCUGUUAUUAGGGAAGAACAUAUGUGUAAGUAACUGUGCACAUCUUGACGGUACCUAAUCAGAAAGCCACGGCUAACUACGUG